Molecule: ribosomal RNA, 415 nt
Filed under: uncultured Glomeromycotina
Lineage: Eukaryota; Fungi; Glomeromycota
Description: SSU rRNA
Rfam family: Eukaryotic small subunit ribosomal RNA
Source: RNAcentral
UGGUACGUACUGGUAUCAUUGGUUUCCCCUUUCUGACGAACCAUGAUGUCAUUAAUUUGGUGUUAUGGGAAGUUAGGACUGUUACUUUGAAAAAAUUAGAGUCGUUUAAAGCAGGCUUUGGCUUGAAUACAUUAGCAUGGAAUAAUGAAAUAGGACGUUCGAACCUAUUUUGUUGGUUUCUAGGAUCAACGUAAUGAUUAAUAGGGAUAGUUGGGGGCAUUAGUAUUCAAUUGGCAGAGGUGAAAUUCUUGGAUUUAUUGAAGACUAACUACUGUGAAAGCAUUUGCCAACGAUGUUUCAUUAAUCAAGAACGAAAGUUAGGGGAUCGAAGACGAUCAGAUACUGUCGUAGUCUUAACCAUAAACUAUGCCGACUAGGGAUGUUAAUUUUUUAAUGACUCAUUCGGCGCCUUACG